CCUACGGGUGGCAGCAGUGGGGAAUAUUGGACAAUGGGGGCAACCCUGAUCCAGCCAUGCCGCGUGUGUGAAGAAGGCCCUCGGGUUGUAAAGCACUUUCAGUGAGGAAGAACGCCUGGUGGUUAAUACCCAUCAGGAAAGACAUCACUCACAGAAGAAGCACCGGCUAACUCCGUGCCAGCAGCCGCGGUAAUACAGAGGGUGCGAGCGUUAAUCGGAAUUACUGGGCGUAAAGCGCGCGUAGGUGGCUUGAUAAGCCGGUUGUGAAAGCCCCGGGCUCAACCUGGGAACGGCAUCCGGAACUGUCAAGCUAGAGUGCAGGAGAGGAAGGUAGAAUUCCCGGUGUAGCGGUGAAAUGCGUAGAGAUCGGGAGGAAUACCAGUGGCGAAGGCGGCCUUCUGGCCUGACACUGACACUGAGGUGCGAAAGCGUGGGUAGCAAACAGGAUUAGAUACCCUAGUAGUC
This 465-nucleotide ribosomal RNA is filed under the name Vreelandella stevensii. RNAcentral's name for it is "partial 16S ribosomal RNA". It matches the Rfam family "Bacterial small subunit ribosomal RNA", at positions 338 to 795 of the family's 1533-position model. Lineage: Bacteria; Pseudomonadati; Pseudomonadota; Gammaproteobacteria; Oceanospirillales; Halomonadaceae. The record is from RNAcentral.